AGUUUUAUAGUUGAAUAACAACAGAAAAUUGCAGAUUUUCAAGUGCCGAAUGGCUAAAGCUU
This 62-nucleotide transfer RNA is filed under the name Tonicia forbesii. Its description in RNAcentral is "tRNA-Cys". Lineage: Eukaryota; Metazoa; Mollusca; Polyplacophora; Chitonida; Chitonidae. The record is from RNAcentral.